Long non-coding RNA from Saccostrea cuccullata (small rock oyster), 249 nucleotides. RefSeq lists it as uncharacterized. NCBI's taxonomy places the organism in Eukaryota, Metazoa, Mollusca, Bivalvia, Ostreida, Ostreidae. The transcript has 3 exons. The record is from RefSeq and is a predicted model, not a curated record.
AUCAGACUGUCAUUUCUACCGUUUUCACCCUAAGAAAAGAGUUCUUUGGGGUCAGUUAUGCAGAAGAGCUGAUAAAGAGCCUAGUGACCAGAAUGACAGGAUUUGUUCUUGUCAUUUUAAAGAUGGUGUUAAAGAGGGUGACCCUAUCUACUUCCAGCAUAACUCUGGAAAGCACAUGGAUUUUCCUGAUCCAGAACACCACAAAAGAAAAAGAACAUGUCAUUCAACUGAAACUAAGUCAAUAGAGGA